AGUGAUUAAGUACUUGGCUGCUAACCAAAAGAUCGGUGGUUCAAACCCACCAGCCACUC
Molecule: transfer RNA, 59 nt
Organism: Loxodonta africana (African savanna elephant)
Lineage: Eukaryota; Metazoa; Chordata; Mammalia; Proboscidea; Elephantidae
Rfam family: tRNA
About the family: Transfer RNA (tRNA) molecules are approximately 80 nucleotides in length. Their secondary structure includes four short double-helical elements and three loops (D, anti-codon, and T loops). Further hydrogen bonds mediate the characteristic L-shaped molecular structure. tRNAs have two regions of fundamental functional importance: the anti-codon, which is responsible for specific mRNA codon recognition, and the 3' end, to which the tRNAs corresponding amino acid is attached (by aminoacyl-tRNA synthetases). tRNAs cope with the degeneracy of the genetic code in two manners: having more than one tRNA (with a specific anti-codon) for a particular amino acid; and 'wobble' base-pairing, i.e. permitting non-standard base-pairing at the 3rd anti-codon position.
Source: Rfam